Long non-coding RNA from Acinonyx jubatus (cheetah), 1955 nucleotides. RefSeq lists it as uncharacterized. The transcript is spliced from 3 exons. The record is from RefSeq and is a predicted model, not a curated record. Lineage: Eukaryota; Metazoa; Chordata; Mammalia; Carnivora; Felidae.
CGAAGACGUCAUCGGCCUCGGAGCGGGAUCCGCUGGCUGCCUGCUGGCUCCGACCCCAGUCCGGCCGUCCGGCCUGCGCCUGGCGUGUCCCUGGGGAUCCGGCCUGCGCCGCUCUCGGGGCCCAGAGGCGAGGUGGCGGGAGCACUGCCAGCCAAGGGCUGACCUCAAGGAUCCAAGCGGCGGCGUGCCCGCAGCCUCUCCUCCCCCUUCCCUGCACCCCUCCCCGCGCUCCCCUCCGCCACAGCCCCGAUCGGAAAGGGGCUUCCUGCGCUUUUGCAUACACGUGUGCCCCUUUCGCUCAUUGCCUCGUCACCACCAGGCACGGACAGGCUCCCCAGGAGAAGCGAUUUACUUGACCAAUGUCACAAUGCUGGGGGUAGGGGUACAGAGAAGAACUGAAAUGAGGGUUGGAGAAAAAUUAACAAGUCUGUCGGUGGAAAUGUCGUUCCUACUAAGGAUAACCGGGCAAGCAGUUUUUAUAUCAUCAUCCACCGUGUGUUUCGGGGUCUGGCAUCAGAACCUGGGGAGAAGAUCACCACAGGUCACUGGUAACAUUACCAACCCCCAUGUGAAGAGACAGAGGAACCGAGGCCAGAGAAGUUAACUAACCCCUCCAAAGGCACACAGCAAGUAAGUGUCACGGCUGGGUGCCUCAUACUCUUUCUCUCUGUUUUCUAAGUCCUUUGUCCUUAUCUUUCCCCAGCACACAAUGGGUGUGUCAAGAAGGUGAUGUGUUACACUAUUUCACUGUUUAUUUCUGGGGUUGAUGACUUUUAGGGGGCUGAUUCUAGGUUCCAGAGGAAAGGGAAGAGAAAAUAGGCCCCAAACUUGGGCUUUCUGCCUGACGCUCCCUGACUCACUGAGCCACAUUGCACAGAUGACUCAUUCAUUGGCCUUGACCUCAAUGGGUUUGGCCACCCAUUGAGAGUGAAGUCACACCUCCAGCUUUCCAAUGCAUUCAUUGGCUCACACAUCCAACCUCAGGCAGGCAAGAAACAGACCCGGCUGGGCUUGCUUAGGGUCAGGGACAGGAAAGCACACAAAUGCUGCCCCAUGUCCUGAAGUAGUGGGUGGACAGCUCCCUCCUGCCCUAAGAGAAGUGGGCUCUAGUAUAUUGCUAGGGCUGCUGUAACAAAGCACGACUAGCCAAGUGGAUUUAAAAAAACAAACUUGUCAGGGUACCUGGGUGGCUCAGAUGUGAGCAUCUGACUUGAUUUCAGCUCAGGUCAUGAUCCCAGGGUCGUGGGAUUGAGCCCUGCAUGGGGUUCCACGCUGAGUAUGGAGCCUGCUUGGGAUUCUCUUUCUCUCUUCUUCUCCCCCUCUCCCUGUCUCGUGCUGGCUCUCUCUUAAAAUGAACAAACAAAAAAACAGAAACAAAAAAACAGAAACAAAUUUGUCUUACAGUUCUGGAGGCCAAAAGUCCAAGACCAAGGUACCAGAAAGGCUGGUGCCUUUUGAGGGCCAUGAGGGAGAAUCUGUUCCAAGCCCCUCUCCUGGUGGCUGGUGGCUUGUUAGAGGUCUUUGGUGUUCCUUGGCUUUCAGGGACAUCACCCUGAUGUCUGCCUUCACGUGGUGCUCUCCCUGUGCUCGUGUCUGUGUCCAAAUUUCCCUUUGUAGAGUGACACCAGUCAUAUUGGAUUAGGGCCUAGCCUAAUGACCUCAUUUUAACUUAAUGGCCUCUGUGAAGACUCUAUUUCCAAAUAAGGUCACGUUCUGGGUACUGGGGGUUAGGACUUCAGUAUACCUUUUGGGAGCGACACAAGUCAACCCGUUUAAAGCCUGUGCCCCCCAAAAAGAGCCCCCUGAAAAUAACACGUUCUUGGAUCGGAUGACUCAAUACCAUAAAGAUGUCCAUUUGGCUCAUGUAAAUAUGAGAUCCAUUUAACAUGCUCUUCAUGAAAAUACUGAAGAUGUUUUUUUUUUAAUUUUUUCCCUGGAGUUAAGCAAGUUGAUUC